AAAGGGAGCGUAGGCGGAUGUUUAAGUCAGAGGUGAAAGCCCAGGGCUCAACCUUGGAACUGCCUUUGAUACUGGGCAUCUUGAGUGUGGGAGAGGUAAGCGGAACUCCGAGUGUAGAGGUGAAAUUCGUAGAUAUUCGGAAGAACACCAGUGGCGAAGGCGGCUUACUGGCCCAUUACUGACGCUGAGGCUCGAAAGCGUGGGGAGCAAACAGGAUUAGAUACCCUAGU
This 230-nucleotide ribosomal RNA is filed under the name uncultured bacterium. RNAcentral describes it as "partial 16S ribosomal RNA". It matches the Rfam family "Bacterial small subunit ribosomal RNA", at positions 562 to 791 of the family's 1533-position model. The record is from RNAcentral.